This 24-nucleotide non-coding RNA is filed under the name Arabidopsis thaliana (thale cress). The record is from RNAcentral. Lineage: Eukaryota; Viridiplantae; Streptophyta; Magnoliopsida; Brassicales; Brassicaceae.
AUAGCGACUGUCUAGAGCGACAGU